RNAcentral lists this ribosomal RNA (421 nucleotides) under uncultured Roseburia sp. RNAcentral's name for it is "bacterial SSU rRNA". It matches the Rfam family "Bacterial small subunit ribosomal RNA", at positions 354 to 792 of the family's 1533-position model. Lineage: Bacteria; Bacillati; Bacillota; Clostridia; Lachnospirales; Lachnospiraceae. The record is from RNAcentral.
UGGGGGAAUAUUGGACAAUGGGGGAAACCCGUGAUCCAGCGACGCCGCGUGAGUGAAGAAGUAUUUCGGUAUGUAAAGCUCUAUCAGCAGGGAAGAUAAUGACGGUACCUGACUAAGAAGCACCGGCUAAAUACGUGCCAGCAGCCGCGGUAAUACGUAUGGUGCAAGCGUUAUCCGGAUUUACUGGGUGUAAAGGGAGCGCAGGCGGCGCGCCAAGUCAGCGGUCAAAGUUCCGGGCUCAACCCGGUGUCGCCGUUGAAACUGGCGUGCUCGAGUGCGUGCGAGGAAGGCGGAAUGCGUUGUGUAGCGGUGAAAUGCAUAGAUAUGACGCAGAACUCCGAUUGCGAAGGCAGCUUUCCAGCGCGCUACUGACGCUGAGGCACGAAAGCGUGGGGAUCGAACAGGAUUAGAUACCCUGGUA